RNAcentral lists this ribosomal RNA (562 nucleotides) under uncultured bacterium. RNAcentral's name for it is "partial 16S ribosomal RNA". It matches the Rfam family "Bacterial small subunit ribosomal RNA", at positions 355 to 933 of the family's 1533-position model. The record is from RNAcentral.
UGGGGAAUAUUGCACAAUGGGCGAAAGCCUGAUGCAGCAACGCCGCGUGAGUGAUGAAGGCCUUCGGGUUGUAAAGCUCUGUCUUUUGGGACGAUAAUGACGGUACCAAAGGAGGAAGCCACGGCUAACUACGUGCCAGCAGCCGCGGUAAUACGUAGGUGGCAAGCGUUGUCCGGAUUUACUGGGCGUAAAGGAUGCGUAGGCGGAUUUUUAAGUGAGAUGUGAAAACCCUAAGCUUAACUUGGGGACUGCAUUUCAUACUGGAAAUCUAGAGUGCGGGAGAGGAGAAUGGAAUUCCUAGUGUAGCGGUGAAAUGCGUAGAGAUUAGGAAGAACACCAGUGGCGAAGGCGAUUCUCUGGACCGUAACUGACGCUGAGGCAUGAAAGCGUGGGUAGCAAACAGGAUUAGAUACCCUGGUAGUCCACGCCGUAAACGAUGAGUACUAGGUGUAGGAGGUAUCGACCCCUUCUGUGCCGCAGUUAACACAAUAAGUACUCCGCCUGGGAAGUACGAUCGCAAGAUUAAAACUCAAAUGAAUUGACGGGGGUCAUAGCUGUUUUU